CCGCACAAGCGGUGGAGCAUGUGGUUUAAUCGAAGCAACGCGAAGAACCUUACCAGGUCUUGACAUCCCGAUGCUAUUUCUAGAGAUAGAAAGUUACUUCGGUACAUCGGUGACAGGUGGUGCAUGGUUGUCGUCAGCUCGUGUCGUGAGAUGUUGGGUUAAGUCCCGCAACGAGCGCAACCCCUAUUGUUAGUUGCCAUCAUUCAGUUGGGCACUCUAGCGAGACUGCCGGUAAUAAACCGGAGGAAGUGGGGAUGACGUCAAAUCAUCAUGCCCCUUAUGACCUGGGCUACACACGUGCUACAAUGGUUGGUACAACGAGUUGCGAGUCGGUGACGGCGAGCUAAUCUCUUAAAGCCAAUCUCAGUCCGGAUUGAAGUCUGCAACUCGACUUCAUGAAGGCGGAAUCGCUAGUAACCGCGAAUCAGCAGGUCGCGGUCGAAUACGUUCCCGGGCCUU
This 459-nucleotide ribosomal RNA is filed under the name uncultured Streptococcus sp. Its description in RNAcentral is "bacterial SSU rRNA". It matches the Rfam family "Bacterial small subunit ribosomal RNA", at positions 921 to 1382 of the family's 1533-position model. The record is from RNAcentral. Lineage: Bacteria; Bacillati; Bacillota; Bacilli; Lactobacillales; Streptococcaceae.